This 468-nucleotide ribosomal RNA is filed under the name uncultured bacterium. RNAcentral describes it as "partial 16S ribosomal RNA". It matches the Rfam family "Bacterial small subunit ribosomal RNA", at positions 28 to 507 of the family's 1533-position model. The record is from RNAcentral.
GACGAACGCUGGCGGCGUGCUUAACACAUGCAAGUCGAACGGAAAGGCCCUGCUUUUGUGGGGUGCUCGAGUGGCGAACGGGUGAGUAACACGUGAGUAACCUGCCCUUGACUUUGGGAUAACGUCAGGAAACUGGGGCUAAUACCGGAUAGGAGCUCCUGCUGAAUGGUGGGGGUUGGAAAGUUUCGGCGGUUGGGGAUGGACUCGCGGCUUAUCAGCUUGUUGGUGGGGUAGUGGCUUACCAAGGCUUUGACGGGUAGCCGGCCUGAGAGGGUGACCGGCCACAUUGGGACUGAGAUACGGGCAAGACUCAUACGGGAGGCAGCAGUGGGGAAUAUUGCACAAUGGGCGGCAGCCUGAUGCAGCAACGCCGCGUGCUGGAUGACGGCCUUCGGGUUGUAAACCGCUUUCGCCUGUGACGCAGCGUGAGUGACGGUAAUGUGUAAAGAAGCACCGGCUAACUACGUG